AGAGCGAACGCUGGCGGCAGGCCUAACACAUGCAAGUCGAGCGCCCCGCAAGGGGAGCGGCAGACGGGAGAGUAACACGUGGGAACGUACCCUUUGGUUCGGAACAACACAGGGAAACUUGUGCUAAUACCGGAUAAGCCCUUACGGGGAAAGAUUUAUCGCCGAAAGAUUGGCCCGCGUCUGAUUAGCUAGUUGGUGAGGUAACGGCUCACCAAGGCGACGAUCAGUAGCUGGUCUGAGAGGAUGAUCAGCCACAUUGGGACUGAGACACGGCCCAAACUCCUACGGGAGGCAGCAGUGGGGGAAUAUUGGACAAUGGGCGCAAGCCUGAUCCAGCCAUGCCGCGUGAGUGAUGAAGGCCCUAGGGUUGUAAAGCUCUUUGUGCGGGAAGAUAAUGACGGUACCGCAAGAAUAAGCCCCGGCUAACUUCGUGCCAGCAGCCGC
This 444-nucleotide ribosomal RNA is filed under the name uncultured bacterium. Its description in RNAcentral is "SSU rRNA". It matches the Rfam family "Bacterial small subunit ribosomal RNA", at positions 26 to 518 of the family's 1533-position model. The record is from RNAcentral.